RNAcentral lists this ribosomal RNA (435 nucleotides) under uncultured bacterium. RNAcentral describes it as "partial 16S ribosomal RNA". It matches the Rfam family "Bacterial small subunit ribosomal RNA", at positions 29 to 507 of the family's 1533-position model. The record is from RNAcentral.
AGCGAACGCUGGCGGCAGGCUUAACACAUGCAAGUCGAGCGGGCACUUUCGGGUGUCAGCGGCGGACGGGUGAGUAACGCGUGGGAACGUGCCCUCUGGUUCGGAAUAACUCAGGGAAACUUGAGCUAAUACCGGAUACGCCCUUUUGGGGAAAGGCUUGCUGCCGGAGGAUCGGCCCGCGUCUGAUUAGCUAGUUGGUGAGGUAACGGCUCACCAAGGCGACGAUCAGUAGCUGGUCUGAGAGGAUGAUCAGCCACACUGGGACUGAGACACGGCCCAGACUCCUACGGGAGGCGGCAGUGGGGAAUAUUGGACAAUGGGCGCAAGCCUGAUCCAGCCAUGCCGCGUGAGUGAUGAAGGCCUUAGGGUUGUAAAGCUCUUUUAUCCGGGACGAUAAUGACGGUACCGGAGGAAUAAGCCCCGGCUAACUUCGUG